RNAcentral lists this ribosomal RNA (465 nucleotides) under uncultured bacterium. RNAcentral's name for it is "partial 16S ribosomal RNA". It matches the Rfam family "Bacterial small subunit ribosomal RNA", at positions 338 to 795 of the family's 1533-position model. The record is from RNAcentral.
CCUACGAGUGGCAGCAGUAGGGCAUCUUCGGCAAUGGACGAAAGUCUGACCGAGCAACGCCGCGUGAGUGAAGAAGGUCUUCGGAUUGUAAAACUCUGUUGUUAGAGAAGAACAAGGACGGUCGUAACUGAACGUCCCCUGACGGUAUCUAACCAGAAAGCCACGGCUAACUACGUGCCAGCAGCCGCGGUAAUACGUAGGUGGCAAGCGUUGUCCUGAUUUAGUGGGCGUAAAGCGAGCGCAGGCGGUUUGUGAAUGCUGAUGUGAAAGCCCCCGGCUCAACCGGGGAGUGUAAUUGGAAACUGGGAGACUUGAGUGCAGAAGAGGAGAGUGGAAUUCCAUGUGUAGCGGUGAAAUGCGUAGAUAUAUGGAGGAACACCAGUGGCGAAGGCGGCUCUCUGGUCUGUAACUGACGCUGAGGCUCGAAAGCGUGGGGAGCAAACAGGAUUAGAUACCCCAGUAGUC